Chinchilla lanigera (long-tailed chinchilla) is the source of this 1604-nucleotide long non-coding RNA. RefSeq lists it as uncharacterized. The record is from RefSeq and is a predicted model, not a curated record. Lineage: Eukaryota; Metazoa; Chordata; Mammalia; Rodentia; Chinchillidae. The transcript is spliced from 3 exons.
CAGGAGAGUGGGCAGGUACAAGGUUCACUGGCCUCACAGGCCCUGCUAUGUCCUGAACCCUGCACACCCCUAGUUUCCCAGCGGUUCCUUCGGCCACGCUUCAGUCAAGGCUUUCCACCCUCUUGUGAUGCUGUCCAGCUGCCCUCUUGGAGCUCAGAAGUCUUCUUUCAUUUAUAGCAGAUCCCCGCUGCAUGUUCGGCCACUGGAAACUGGAUGGGCCUGCGGAGAUGCUGCAGGCCCUGAAAUGAGAACCCUAUUUGCGGUGAGCCCUCCAGCUGGUCAUCUGUCCCUGCUUCUUUCAGGAGAGCCUGGCUGCCUAUGUCAACCAGAGGGGGCACCUCAGCAAGGAGACUAGGAAGACCUAUCCAAGGGAAAACCCAGAGAGAGGGCAAAGUGAGCACAGGUAGCCCGGGGAAUGAAGAAGGCUGCUCACUCCAGACUGCCCCCAGCCACACCUGGACACACUGCUCUUUGAGGCUGAACCUCCCACCCUCUUUCCUCACCUGCAGUUUGAGAAGAUAAGAGCUGCCUGUGUAACUGGGAGGCCCAGGGUCCCCUGUCAGAAGACAUGCGACUCCAGGAUCUUGGCCGGGCCAAGGGAAGAAAAAAAUCGUUCUGCUGGGCUUGCAGCCAUGAAUAGGCUGGAGUGCUGGGGCCACCAAUGGGAGAGGUCUGUCUGGCACCUCUGUGAGCCGGGGGAGCAGAUGCAAGAGGAGGCUGUUCAAGGUCUACACCAGGAGCCUGGAGAAUGUGACCAGCAAGGGGAGAGAGGAGCUGACUCCCUGCUGCCGGCACUGGAGGCCUCAGAUUGGCCAGACCUGAAGGCCCCUGGAUCCCAGCCACGUGAGCCAACAGACUCUUGUUUUGGCUGAAGCCAGUAGGAAUUUAGAUCCUUUCAUGCCAGUCAUCCACUUGCUCCUCUCCUACUGGUCUGGCUGACUUCCUCUAACCUUGCAAGUCUUGCCUAAAUACCAUCUCCUCCAGGAAGCCUUCCUUGACCACCAGGCUGUCCUGGCUACACCUCCUCUGAGCUUGCAGAGGGCCCAGUGGAAAUUAUUCUGCCACCACUUAUGGGUGUGUCUCUUCACAUGGUCAGAGCCUUGUGAGCAGAGACUAAGCAUUCAUAUCUCCUAUCUAUCCCCAGAGCCUGGCCAGUGUCAGACACACAGCAAGGGCCCAGAGAGUGUCUGUUGAACCUCAUUCCCUGGAACAGCAUCAUAACCCAGAAAUGAAAGGCUGGGCCUGGAAAACACAAAUUCUUGUUUGCCCAGGACUCAGGUAGACUCACCUUCCAAUUCAUCAAUGAAUCAAACAAUUCAUUGGGAAGGGAAGUGGAGUCCUUGAAUGCCAGCACAGACCUUGCGGAGGCAGAGACCCUGCUGUGGGGAGUGCAGUCUCCAAGGGAGGCAGAUGACACAGAAGUCACUGGGCACUGAGGUGGGGGGCAAGGGGGUGCAGGGGCCCAGCAUGGCCCAGCCCAGGUCUGCAGCCACAGGGGAAGCAAGAGCUGUACUCUGCUGCCAGUUGCAUCCUGCGGCCUGAGAGGGCUGCAUAAGUUAUUAUUAUUUAAACAUGGACAAUUCUAUGAUGAGGGAGCUGCACUA